This 461-nucleotide ribosomal RNA is filed under the name uncultured bacterium. Its description in RNAcentral is "bacterial SSU rRNA". It matches the Rfam family "Bacterial small subunit ribosomal RNA", at positions 30 to 526 of the family's 1533-position model. The record is from RNAcentral.
UGAACGCUGGCGAGAUGCCUUACACAUGCAAGUCAUACGGGAAUUUUUAAUUUAAGUGGCGGACGGGUGAGUAACACGUAAGAAUUUGCCUUUAGGAGGGGGACAACAACUGGAAACGGUUGCUAAUACCCCAUAUGCUUUCGAGUGAAAUGGAAUUUUCCGCCUAAAGAGAAGCUUGCGGCUGAUUGGCUUGUUGGUAAGGUAAUGGCUUACCAAGGCGACGAUCAGUAUCUGGUUUGAGAGGAUGAUCAGACACACUGGAACUGAGACACGGUCCAGACUCCUACGGGAGGCAGCAGUGGGGAAUUUUCCGCAAUGGGCGAAAGCCUGACGGAGCAAUCUCGCGUGAGGGAUGACGGCCUAUGGGUUGUAAAACCCUCUUUUUUUCAGGGAGGGAAUAAAUAGACGUGUACCUGAAGAAUAAGCAUCGGCUAACUCCGUGCCAGCAGCCGCGGUAAUCU